CGUCGACCGGCGCACGGGUGAGUAACGCGUAUCCAACCUUCCCAUAACUAAGGAAUACCCCGUAGAAAUGCGGCCUAAUCCCUUAUGGUCUCUUACGCUGACAUCGGAAUAAGAGUAAAGAUUUAUCGGUUAUGGAUGGGGAUGCGUCUGAUUAGCUUGCUGGCGGGGUAACGGCCCACCAGGGCAUCGAUCAGUAGGGGUUCUGAGAGGAAGGUCCCCCACAUUGGAACUGAGACACGGUCCAAACUCC
Molecule: ribosomal RNA, 250 nt
Filed under: uncultured Prevotella sp.
Lineage: Bacteria; Pseudomonadati; Bacteroidota; Bacteroidia; Bacteroidales; Prevotellaceae
Description: partial 16S ribosomal RNA
Rfam family: Bacterial small subunit ribosomal RNA
Source: RNAcentral